This 71-nucleotide transfer RNA is filed under the name Candidatus Velamenicoccus archaeovorus. RNAcentral's name for it is "tRNA-Gly". It matches the Rfam family "tRNA". From Rfam's summary of the family: Transfer RNA (tRNA) molecules are approximately 80 nucleotides in length. Their secondary structure includes four short double-helical elements and three loops (D, anti-codon, and T loops). Further hydrogen bonds mediate the characteristic L-shaped molecular structure. tRNAs have two regions of fundamental functional importance: the anti-codon, which is responsible for specific mRNA codon recognition, and the 3' end, to which the tRNAs corresponding amino acid is attached (by aminoacyl-tRNA synthetases). tRNAs cope with the degeneracy of the genetic code in two manners: having more than one tRNA (with a specific anti-codon) for a particular amino acid; and 'wobble' base-pairing, i.e. permitting non-standard base-pairing at the 3rd anti-codon position. The record is from RNAcentral. Lineage: Bacteria; Pseudomonadati; Candidatus Omnitrophota. RNAcentral also lists the same sequence under 2 other names.
GCGGGCGUGGUUCAAUGGUAGAACGCGAGCUUCCCAAGCUCGAAACGGGGGUUCGAUUCCCCUCGCCCGCU